GGGAUACUUUUUACUGAGUUCAUUCAUUUGUUUUAGUCUUUUAAUAAGUAUACUACAGUUAUUUCAUUAACCUGUUCUCAAGUGGUUUAGCUACCAUUCUGCCAUUUAAGCACCAGAUACUUCAGUUUAUUCUCUGGGGGAACUUCAUUUGCAUCUAUGUUUUUAGCUAUCUGUGAUAACUUGUUAAAUAUUAAAAAGAUAUUUUGCUUCUAUUGGAACAUUUGUAUACUCGCAACUAUAUUUCUGUAAACAGCUGCAGUCAAAAAUAAAACAUUGAAAGUUUUC
RNAcentral lists this long non-coding RNA (285 nucleotides) under Bos taurus (domestic cattle). RNAcentral's name for it is "long non-coding RNA NONBTAT009284". Lineage: Eukaryota; Metazoa; Chordata; Mammalia; Artiodactyla; Bovidae. The record is from RNAcentral.